Molecule: ribosomal RNA, 461 nt
Filed under: uncultured bacterium
Lineage: Bacteria
Description: SSU rRNA
Rfam family: Bacterial small subunit ribosomal RNA
Source: RNAcentral
AGAAUCCACGCUGGCGGCGUGCCUAACACAUGCAAGUCGAACGAGAAAGGGGAGCAAUCCCUGAGUACAGUGGCGAACCGGGUGAGUAACACGUGACUAACCUACCCUCGAGUGUGGAAUAACAUCGGGAAACCGAUGCUAAUACCGCAUAACAUCGCAAGAUCAAAGGAGUAAUCCGCUUGAGGAGGGGGUCACGGCUGAUUAGCUAGUUGGCGGGGUAAUGGCCCACCAAGGCGAAGAUCGGUAUCCGGCCUGAGAGGGCGCACGGACACACUGGAACUGAAACACGGUCCAGACUCCUACGGGAGGCAGCAGUGGGGAAUUUUGCGCAAUGGGGGAAACCCUGACGCAGCAACGCCGCGUGGAGGAUGAAGCCCCUUUGGGCGUAAACUCCUUUCGACCAAGACGAUAAUGACGGUACUGGUGGAAGAAGCACCGGCUAACUCUGCGCCAGCAGCCGC